This is a long non-coding RNA of Catharus ustulatus (Swainson's thrush), 1446 nucleotides long. RefSeq lists it as uncharacterized. The record is from RefSeq and is a predicted model, not a curated record. Lineage: Eukaryota; Metazoa; Chordata; Aves; Passeriformes; Turdidae. The transcript has 4 exons.
GCUUCUUGUCCGCAGCGGCCUCCUGUGCAAUGCCGUGCGCUGCCGUGUGGCAAUUUGGAAAUGCAUUCCCAGGCGUCGUUCCCCAGGACCGCUCUUCUUUCCUAAUUCUUUUCACUCACUUGAGCCGUAGCUGUGUUCAAAUCUGGUUUUCCCUUCCCCAGAGGACAAAAGUCUUGACCCCCGUGCAGGUUUAACAGUUUAGGAAAUCAAAUUGGACCUUCGCAUUUGUUAACGCUUGGUUUGAGCUUGGGGUUUGAUUUGUGGAUUUCCAUUCGCACCUGGUUUCAAGGUGUGGUACCUGGAAUAACCAGAGGCAGCACCUGAGCACGGGAGCCUUCCCACAAAUUUCCAGGGAGAACCAACUGCCAGGAAGUGGCUUGGAGGCACGAGAAGGACGAGGUGACAUCAUCUGUGAGGACAAGCUGUGGUGGCACCAACAAGAGCCUUGCCUGGAGGAGGGGAGUGUCCUCCUGGGACAAGGGAAGAGCAGUGGCAGCCCGUUACUGUGACUUUAGCAAGGCUUGUGACACAGCCCCCCACCAUAUCCAAGCCCUGAGCUCUUGUCAAGGCUGAUUCUUAGAGUGGAGAUUUCCAUCAUAGCUUUGACAGUUUCAGGGCUGUUUUGACCCUCUCUCAAUCACAAGCUGGAAGAUGACUGUGGAGCCCAAGAAGGUCAUCUGAGGGGUGAUUUCUCUGGCACCCUAGAAGAUCAGAAGGGAUAUUCCCAAUGUGCUCUGCACACUCACACUUGGGUGCACCAGCUCAAUCCAGAUGGAGUUCCUGCUACGUUUGGUGGAAUUGUUCUGUUGGAUGGUGUAUCCACAAAGAUGGGGCUUGUAACAAAGCCAGAACUGUGUGGUAAGUCCACCAGCUGCCCCCCUCGUGAAGUUUCUCAGUGAGCUGUGCACACAUGACCACACACUGCCUUUUUCCCUCCCACGCACACAAACUCUGUGGUAAGUUGUUCAGUGAGUUGUGACACAUAUCAGUGCUAUUGGCCUCUGAUGUUGUUGGGUUCCUGUUUCUGGGGGCUGACCACAGCAAUGCUAUCUGAAAAGUUUUCCACCAAACUCAGAGAGAAUUUUCAUUAAAGCUCUCUCCAGUUUAGUCCCUCAAGCAUGGGUGUCUUUCUACUCAUGAAUGCAAGCAGCAGAAGAAAGCAAUAAAUCCCUUUGAAUAAUGUGCCAGUGCUCCACUGUUACAUAACUGUCAUCCCUAAGUAGAAGAUGACUAUUUACCAACUAAAGAAUAUUGGCAAGGAUUUAAAGCAUUUAAAAAUAAUUCUGCUGCUUCCAGAAUUUGGAUCAUUGACCCUUAACCUGAAAGCUGGUUUUCCAAAUGUCCUCCAGGGAACACAUUGUGUACUUAACUUUCCCCAUGAAAACUACAAAAAACUGUAUACAAAAAUACAAGGAUUAAAGGCCAGAGCCACAACAGAUUUUGACU